AUAUCAAUAAGCGGAGGAAAAGAAACUAACAAGGAUUCCCCUAGUAACUGCGAGUGAAGCGGGAAAAGCUCAAAUUUGAAAAUCUGGUGGUCUUUGCCACCGUCCGAGUUGUAAUUCUGGAGAAGCGUUUUCCGCGCUGGACCGUGUACAAGUCUCCUGGAACAUGGAGCGUCAUAGAGGGUGAGAAUCCCGUCUUUGAGCACGAUGCACCAGGGCUUAUUGUCGAUGCGCUCUCGAAGAGUCGAGUUGUUUGGGAAUGCAGCUCAAAAUGGGUGGUGAACUCCAUCUAAAGCUAAAUAUUGGCGAGAGACCGAUAGCGAACAAGUACCGUGAGGGAAAGAUGAAAAGCACUUUGGAAAGAGAGUGAAAACAGUAC
This 376-nucleotide ribosomal RNA is filed under the name uncultured fungus. Its description in RNAcentral is "eukaryotic LSU rRNA". It matches the Rfam family "Eukaryotic large subunit ribosomal RNA", at positions 40 to 398 of the family's 3401-position model. The record is from RNAcentral. Lineage: Eukaryota; Fungi.